AAUAUUUUCAAGUCCUUAAUUUUCCUUCUCUUCUGUUCCUGUUUUUCAGCCCUUGGAUGAGGCCAACCUGACUGAACUGAAAAGUGCUCUGAAUGGAUUCCUAGCUAAAGGAGAGGUCUUGAAGCUGGAGACCAAGACUGACCCCUCGAUCCUCGGCGGGAUGAUUGUCAACAUUGGGGAGAAGUACGUGGACAUGUCAACAAGGUCCAAGAUCCAGAAACUCACCAAGAUCAUGAGAGAGUCUGUCUAGAGAGCUGUCCUGGUCAUUCCCAAGGAAACCUGGCUGAUGGAAACAAUAAAAUUCCUCCUUCUCGAGUA
This is a long non-coding RNA of Manacus vitellinus (golden-collared manakin), 318 nucleotides long. RefSeq lists it as uncharacterized. Lineage: Eukaryota; Metazoa; Chordata; Aves; Passeriformes; Pipridae. The record is from RefSeq and is a predicted model, not a curated record. The transcript has 2 exons.